GAUGAACGUUGGCGGCGUGCCUGAGAUAUGCAAGUCGAGCGAGUCCGACCUUGCGUCGGACAGCGGCGGACGGCUGAGUAACACGUAGGAAUCUACCCCUUUCUGGACCAUAGUUCGUCGAAAGACGGAGUAAUUGUCCAUGGUAUCCGACGUUUUGUCGGAUUAAAGAGAGUAACUUCUCGGAAAGGGAUGAGCCUGCGGCUUAUCAUGGUAGUUGGUAGGGUAAUGGCCUACCAAGCCUACGACGAGUAGCUGGCCUGAGAGGGUGGUCAGCCAGAGGGGGACUGAGACACGGCCCUCACUCCUACGGGAGGCAGCAUG
Molecule: ribosomal RNA, 321 nt
Filed under: uncultured bacterium
Lineage: Bacteria
Description: bacterial SSU rRNA
Rfam family: Bacterial small subunit ribosomal RNA
Source: RNAcentral